Molecule: non-coding RNA, 232 nt
Organism: Pelobates cultripes (western spadefoot toad)
Lineage: Eukaryota; Metazoa; Chordata; Amphibia; Anura; Pelobatidae
Source: the annotation of a GenBank genome assembly
AUUUAGAUUUCUUUAUCCAACGGCAAAAAAUAACAACAGGUUUAAUAUGCUGUGUGGAAAAAAAGCCAAAAAAGGUGCAAAAUGGCCUGCUCUCACUCAAUGGUUCCUUUUCUCCUCCUGCAAUGCAUUGUGGGUGUCAUGGCUGUACGUGGACUGAACUGAGUUUUGAUGACAAUUGCUAAACAUUUAGUACAAAUGUAACAGGUAAUAGAGUAACCUUAUUUAAUGCUGG